GAACGCUGGCGGCGUGCUUAACACAUGCAAGUCGAACGGAAAGGCCCUGCUUUUGUGGGGUGCUCGAGUGGCGAACGGGUGAGUAACACGUGAGUAACCUGCCCUUGACUUUGGGAUAACUUCAGGAAACUGGGGCUAAUACCGGAUAGGAGCUCCUGCUGCAUGGUGGGGGUUGGAAAGUUUCGGCGGUUGGGGAUGGACUCGCGGCUUAUCAGCUUGUUGGUGGGGUAGUGGCUUACCAAGGCUUUGACGGGUAGCCGGCCUGAGAGGGUGACCGGCCACAUUGGGACUGAGAUACGGCCCAGACUCCUACGGGAGGCAGCAGUGGGGAAUAUUACACAAUGGGCGGAAGCCUGAUGCAGCAACGCCGCGUGCGGGAUGACGGCCUUCGGGUUGUAAACCGCUUUCGCCUGUGACGAAGCGUGAGUGACGGUAAUGGGUAAAGAAGCACCGGCUAACUACGU
Molecule: ribosomal RNA, 464 nt
Filed under: uncultured bacterium
Lineage: Bacteria
Description: partial 16S ribosomal RNA
Rfam family: Bacterial small subunit ribosomal RNA
Source: RNAcentral